This 231-nucleotide unclassified non-coding RNA is filed under the name plant metagenome. RNAcentral's name for it is "partial contains small subunit ribosomal RNA, internal transcribed spacer 1, and 5.8S ribosomal RNA". The record is from RNAcentral.
UCUCCGUUGGUGAACCAGCGGAGGGAUCAUUACAGAGUUGCAAAACUCCCAAACCAUCGUGAACGUUACCUAUCCCGUUGCUUCGGCGGGCGGCCCGGGCCCCGCGCCCGGCGCCCCCCGGCCCCCCGUGGGCGCCCGCCGGAGGUAAACCAAACCCUUGAAUUGCAUGGCCUCUCUGAGUCUUCUGUACUGAAUAAGUCAAAACUUUCAACAACGGAUCUCUUGGUUCUG